This 253-nucleotide ribosomal RNA is filed under the name uncultured bacterium. RNAcentral's name for it is "partial 16S ribosomal RNA". It matches the Rfam family "Bacterial small subunit ribosomal RNA", at positions 524 to 776 of the family's 1533-position model. The record is from RNAcentral.
UACGAAGGGGGCUAGCGUUGUUCGGAUUUACUGGGCGUAAAGCGCACGUAGGCGGAUCGAUCAGUCAGGGGUGAAAUUCUGGAGCUCAACUCCAGAACUGCCUUUGAUACUGAAGAUCUUGAGUUCGGGAGAGGUGAGUGGAACUGCGAGUGUAGAGGUGAAAUUCGUAGAUAUUCGCAAGAACACCAGUGGCGAAGGCGGCUCACUGGCCCGAUACUGACGCUGAGGCACGAAAGCCAGGGGAGCAAACGGG